UAGUCCACGCCGUAAACGAUGUCUACUAGCUGUUUGUGUUCUUGAAACGUGAGUGGCGCAGCUAACGCACUAAGUAGACCGCCUGGGGAGUACGGUCGCAAGAUUAAAACUCAAAUGAAUUGACGGGGGCCCGCACAAGCGGUGGAGCAUGUGGUUUAAUUCGAUGCAACGCGAAGAACCUUACCAUCCCUUGACAUCCAGUGGAUUUAGCAGAGAUGCUUAAGUGCCUUCGGGAACACUGAGACAGGUGCUGCAUGGCUGUCGUCAGCUCGUGUUGUGAAAUGUUGGGUUAAGUCCCGCAACGAGCGCAACCCUUAUCCUUAGUUGCCAGCACAUAAUGGUGGGAACUCUAAGGAGACUGCCGGUGACAAACCGGAGGAAGGUGGGGACGACGUCAAGUCAUCAUGGCCCUUACGGGAUGGGCUACACACGUGCUACAAUGGACGGUACAGAGGGCGGCGAGCCAGCGAUGGUUAGCGAAUCUCUUAAAGCCGUUCGUAGUCC
This 504-nucleotide ribosomal RNA is filed under the name uncultured bacterium. RNAcentral's name for it is "bacterial SSU rRNA". It matches the Rfam family "Bacterial small subunit ribosomal RNA", at positions 791 to 1294 of the family's 1533-position model. The record is from RNAcentral.